This 497-nucleotide ribosomal RNA is filed under the name uncultured bacterium. Its description in RNAcentral is "partial 16S ribosomal RNA". It matches the Rfam family "Bacterial small subunit ribosomal RNA", at positions 28 to 507 of the family's 1533-position model. The record is from RNAcentral.
GAUGAACGCUGGCGGCGUGCCUAAUACAUGCAAGUCGAGCGAACGGACGAGAAGCUUGCUUCUCUGAUGUUAGCGGCGGACGGGUGAGUAACACGUGGAUAACCUACCUAUAAGACUGGGAUAACUUCGGGAAACCGGAGCUAAUACCGGAUAAUAUUUUGAACCGCAUGGUUCAAAAGUGAAAGACGGUCUUGCUGUCACUUAUAGAUGGAUCCGCGCUGCAUUAGCUAGUUGGUAAGGUAACGGCUUACCAAGGCAACGAUGCAUAGCCGACCUGAGAGGGUGGUUGGGCACCCCGGAAACUGGGACACGUUCCGGAUCCCAAGGGGAGGCGGCGUAGGGAAACCUUCCGCAAGGGGCAAAGGCCUGAGGAGGCAAGGCGGGGGAGUGAAGAAGGUCCUCCGAUCGGAAAACCCCUUUAAUAGGGAAGAAACAAAGUGGAAGUAAACUGGGCCCAUCUGAAGGUAACUAAACAGAAAGGCACGGCUAACUUCCUG